AACUAGCAAAAUGAUUUGCGCAAUUACUGGCAGUAGAUAGUAUUUUUAUGUGGUACAGAUAAGUAUUGCCCUGUCUAGUUCUGCCACAAAGCAAUCAUGUGUUCCGAAUUUAAAGGAUAUUCGUUAUGGCAAUUGAAAUUAAUAUUAUAUGUUUCAUAUUGGGCUACCAACCGGAAACCAGGAAAAAUCAACGUGAAUAAUCUUAGUUACAUAAUCUGGGAGCUUUGAUAAUAUAAUCCUUUUUUGAUGGCGAUAUCAAACUAUUACUUAAUUCAUGGAGUGUAAAGUUUUAAAUUUUUAAGAUAUAUUUUUUUCCUACCCAACAGCGUUUAAGCUGCUAUGGUUCGAUCAUGUCGAAAUUAACAAAAUAAUAAGUACAUACAUACAAUACAUCGUUUGUAACGUUUUUUUCAAUAUUUUAGUUUAUUUUUAAGGUUCUUGGCAUCGGAUAGGUCAUACAGAAAUGUGACAGCAAUAUCUUCUUCUUCAUCUUACCAGCCCACAGACGUCCGCUGCUGGACAUAGGCCUCCCCCAAGCCUCGCCACAAAGACUGGUCCUGCGCUGACUGUAUCCAGCGGAUCCCCGCGACCCUCGAUAGAUUGUCGGUCCAUCUUGUGAGAGGCCUGUCUUCCGGUACGCGGUCGCCACUCAAGAACUUUCUGGCUCCAACGGCCAUCCGUUCUAUGAGCAAUGUGUCCUGCCCACUGCCACUUCAACGUCGCAAUCCAAAGGGUUAGUCAUCAACAGCAACGGUGAGUACAUAACUCACCUUCGGUUUGCCGACGAUAUUGUGAUUAAGGCCGAGACCCUGGAGGACCUCAGUACAAUGCUCAAAGACCUCAGUAGGGCUUCUAUCCGAAUGGGUCUGAAUAUGAACAUGGACAGCAAUACAUCGUAUGUUAAUCCCAAAAAAGCAUGUUACGUCAUACUAUACAAAUUGAUAUACCCACUAUUAUAAAUAAUUCAAUUGACUAUUAGGAAGUGAUUCUGGAAGACUAUCUCCCUACCUUUAGUAGACUCCAACCUUUUUCAGCAAUGGAUAAAAUUACAUAUUUAUUUACUUAUGUGAUAUUUGAUUAUUUCUUCAUGGUUUGAUUGAUUCUACUAUAAUAAAGGAUUUAUUAAUUUAAUAAA
Molecule: long non-coding RNA, 1135 nt
Organism: Bombyx mori (domestic silkworm)
Lineage: Eukaryota; Metazoa; Arthropoda; Insecta; Lepidoptera; Bombycidae
Exons: 3
Source: RefSeq, a predicted model, not a curated record